CCACCCCUGCGGUGUUCGUGAGGAGCGCAUCCUCCUGAGCCGAUAACUUAUGAACCUGGGAACCGCGCCCUGACUGUGGCUGCCACCUCCAUGUGUGGGGUUUCGCAAAAGCAGUUAUUCACGGGUCCACCUUGACAAAAGGGUUCAGAGAGUGUCAUCCCACGGCACAGGCGGGGGUAUU
Molecule: non-coding RNA, 181 nt
Filed under: Magnetococcales bacterium
Lineage: Bacteria; Pseudomonadati; Pseudomonadota; Magnetococcia; Magnetococcales
Description: 6S RNA
Rfam family: 6S / SsrS RNA
About the family: E. coli 6S RNA was the first non coding RNA to be sequenced, but its function was unknown until recently.
Source: RNAcentral